This 598-nucleotide ribosomal RNA is filed under the name uncultured bacterium. Its description in RNAcentral is "bacterial SSU rRNA". It matches the Rfam family "Bacterial small subunit ribosomal RNA", at positions 57 to 651 of the family's 1533-position model. The record is from RNAcentral.
GCAGUCGAACGGCAGCACGGGAGCAAUCCUGGUGGCGAGUGGCGAACGGGUGAGUAAUAUAUCGGAACAUGCCCAGUCGUGGGGGAUAACGCAGCGAAAGCUGUGCUAAUACCGCAUACGAUCUAUGGAUGAAAGCGGGGGAUCGCAAGACCUCGCGCGAUUGGAGCGGCCGAUAUCAGAUUAGCUAGUUGGUGGGGUAAAGGCCCACCAAGGCGACGAUCUGUAGCUGGUCUGAGAGGACGACCAGCGACACUGGAACUGAGACACGGUCCAGACUCCUACGGGAGGCAGCAGUGGGGAAUUUUGGACAAUGGGCGCAAGCCUGAUCCAGCAAUGCCGCGUGCAGGAUGAAGGCCUUCGGGUUGUAAACUGCUUUUGUACGGAACGAAACGGUCGUCUCUAAUAAAGGUGGCUAAUGACGGUACCGUAAGAAUAAGCACCGGCUAACUACGUGCCAGCAGCCGCGGUAAUACGUAGGGUGCGAGCGUUAAUCGGAAUUACUGGGCGUAAAGCGUGCGCAGGCGGUUAUAUAAGACAGAUGUGAAAUCCCCGGGCUCAACCUGGGACCUGCAUUUGUGACUGUAUAGCUAGAGUACGG